This 233-nucleotide ribosomal RNA is filed under the name uncultured bacterium. Its description in RNAcentral is "partial 16S ribosomal RNA". It matches the Rfam family "Bacterial small subunit ribosomal RNA", at positions 100 to 334 of the family's 1533-position model. The record is from RNAcentral.
CGGGACGGGUGAGUAAUGUCUGGGAAACUGCCUGAUGGAGGGGGGUAACUACUGGAAACGGUAGCUAAUACCGCAUAACGUCGCAAGACCAAAGAGGGGGACCUUCGGGCCUCUUGCCAUCGGAUGUGCCCAGAUGGGAUUAGCUAGUGGGUGGGGUAACGGCUCACCUAGGCGACGAUCCCUAGCUGGUCUGAGAGGAUGGCCAGCCACACUGGAACUGAGACACGGUCCAG